RNAcentral lists this transfer RNA (31 nucleotides) under Lynchius megacephalus. RNAcentral's name for it is "partial tRNA-Gln". Lineage: Eukaryota; Metazoa; Chordata; Amphibia; Anura; Strabomantidae. The record is from RNAcentral.
CUUAGUUAUAGGUUCAAUUCCUAUUUUUCUA